UGGGGAAUAUUGGACAAUGGGCGAAAGCCUGAUCCAGCCAUGCCGCGUGUGUGAAGAAGGUCUUCGGAUUGUAAAGCACUUUAAGUUGGGAGGAAGGGCAUUUACCUAAUACGUAAGUGUUUUGACGUUACCGACAGAAUAAGCACCGGCUAACUCUGUGCCAGCAGCCGCGGUAAAU
This 178-nucleotide ribosomal RNA is filed under the name uncultured bacterium. RNAcentral describes it as "partial 16S ribosomal RNA". It matches the Rfam family "Bacterial small subunit ribosomal RNA", at positions 355 to 525 of the family's 1533-position model. The record is from RNAcentral.